This 169-nucleotide ribosomal RNA is filed under the name uncultured bacterium. Its description in RNAcentral is "partial 16S ribosomal RNA". It matches the Rfam family "Bacterial small subunit ribosomal RNA", at positions 1332 to 1500 of the family's 1533-position model. The record is from RNAcentral.
UCGCUAGUAAUCGCGGAUCAGAAUGCCGCGGUGAAUACGUUCCCGGGUCUUGUACACACCGCCCGUCACACCAUGGGAGCCGGAAAUGCCCGAAGUCAGUGACCCAACCGCGAGGAGGGAGCUGCCGAAGGCAGGUCUGGUAACUGGGGUGAAGUCGUAACAAGGUACC